This 266-nucleotide ribosomal RNA is filed under the name uncultured Oscillospiraceae bacterium. RNAcentral's name for it is "partial 16S ribosomal RNA". It matches the Rfam family "Bacterial small subunit ribosomal RNA", at positions 75 to 339 of the family's 1533-position model. Lineage: Bacteria; Bacillati; Bacillota; Clostridia; Eubacteriales; Oscillospiraceae. The record is from RNAcentral.
CUUGCACUUUGGCAGACUGAGUGGCGGACGGGUGAGUAACGCGUGGGUAACCUGCCUUAUACAGGGGGACAACAGUUGGAAACGACUGCUAAUACCGCAUGAUGUUUCGAGAGGACAUCCUCUUGAAACCAAAGGAGCAAUCCGCUGUAAGAUGGCCUCGCGUCUGAUUAGAUAGUUGGUGGGGUAACGGCCUACCAAGUCGACGAUCAGUAGCCGGACUGAGAGGUUGAUCGGCCACAUUGGGACUGAGACACGGCCCAGACUCC